Non-coding RNA from Gossypium raimondii (Peruvian cotton), 139 nucleotides. Lineage: Eukaryota; Viridiplantae; Streptophyta; Magnoliopsida; Malvales; Malvaceae. The record is from Rfam.
UAUUAAAAACUUUACUUAUUUUUACCACUAAAAACUUGCAUUACUGACAAAAUAACCAAACAGUUUCACGUGACGUGUCAUAUGCACCUCACUCUGACAUACAAUGUUUUAAUAGUAAAAAUAGAUGAAAUUUUAAAUA